GGGAGAAGCAAAGCAGGAUUGGCUUAGCUGCUAGUGUAGCCAUUCUAAAUUUAUUCUGGAACUUCUAUUCAGCCACAUCACACUGUUGACUCAUAUUCAGCUUGUGAUCAACAACAAUUGCUUCAUCCUCUUAUUUCCAUAAAGGACACAACAUCAUCAUUUAUGAGCUUCACGAGAUGUUUCAAGGGCAUUGAUGGGAUGUGAAGAGAAAAAACAGAUUUGUCAUAAUCAUACUCUGAUUGGGCCCUGUACUCAUUUCUGGGUCAAGCCUUCCCAAUCUACGAAGAGACCACUGCAACAAGACCAUAUGGAACUCACCCACCC
Molecule: long non-coding RNA, 324 nt
Organism: Rhineura floridana
Lineage: Eukaryota; Metazoa; Chordata; Lepidosauria; Squamata; Rhineuridae
Exons: 3
Source: RefSeq, a predicted model, not a curated record